RNAcentral lists this transfer-messenger RNA (274 nucleotides) under Thermoanaerobacter sp. RNAcentral's name for it is "partial transfer-messenger RNA". It matches the Rfam family "transfer-messenger RNA", at positions 1 to 296 of the family's 374-position model. From Rfam's summary of the family: Bacterial tmRNA, also known as 10Sa RNA or SsrA, is named for its dual tRNA and mRNA-like properties. Lineage: Bacteria; Bacillati; Bacillota; Clostridia; Thermoanaerobacterales; Thermoanaerobacteraceae. The record is from RNAcentral.
GGGGGCGUUUGGUUUCGACGGGGGUUGCAGGGAUAAGAGCUGCAGGUCGAGCUUUCCGACUCGUAAAUCCGGAAACAAGAAUUAAACGCCAAUAACGAUUUAGCUUACGCUGCUUAAUUAAAGCAGCGCGUCCUUACUCGGCUUUGCCCGAGAGCCGGGAUAAGGGCGUCAAAAAAAUCGGGAUUUUCUUUUAGCGUUGCUCUGGCGCUAAAAGAGAAACUUACAGAGCUGGCCGAGCUUUAAUCCUGCCCUCAGGAGUAAAGCCGGCGAGAUC